GGGGGAUCAGCUCAGAUGGCAGAGCGCUCGCUUAGCGUGCGAGAGGCAGGGGGAUGGAUACCCCCAUUCUCCA
Non-coding RNA from Blyttiomyces helicus, 73 nucleotides. The record is from the annotation of a GenBank genome assembly. NCBI's taxonomy places the organism in Eukaryota, Fungi, Chytridiomycota, Chytridiomycetes.